RNAcentral lists this ribosomal RNA (496 nucleotides) under uncultured bacterium. RNAcentral's name for it is "bacterial SSU rRNA". It matches the Rfam family "Bacterial small subunit ribosomal RNA", at positions 28 to 429 of the family's 1533-position model. The record is from RNAcentral.
GAUGAACGCUGGCGGCGUGCCUAAAACAUGCAAGUCGAGCGGCAGCGAGUUCCUCGCUAAUGUUCGGAUUUGUUUACCAAUGAUGCAAGUAAUUUAGUCAGAGUAACAAAGUAACGACUAGUUGUUUAAGUUAAAAGGUAGAUUUAAUAUUCCGGAUAUGAGCGAGGAAUGUCGGCGAGCGGCGGACGGCUGAGUAGCGCGUAGGAACAUACCCCAAAGUGAGGCAUAACCGCCCGAAAGGGUGGCUAAUACCGCAUAUUGUCUUCGGAUGAAAGCUUUUAGCGCUUUGGGAAUGGCCUGCGUUUGAUUAGCUAGUUGGUGAGGUAAGGGCUUACCAAGGCGAUGAUCAAUAGCUGGUUUGAGAGAAUGAUCAGCCAGACUGGAACUGAGACACGGUCCAGACUCCUACGGGAGGCAGCAGUUGGGAAUUUUCCACAAUGGGCAAAAGCCUGAUGGAGCAACGCCGCGUGCAGGAAGAAUGCCUUCGGGUUGUAAA